UUCACGUCUGCUCCUCUUAAAUGUAUUAGCUGGAUCUCAGUGAGCUCGGUUCCACUCGGCGUGAUAAGUAUCACUCGCUGAGGACACUCGUAAAAAAAAGUGGCCGGGGUUGCAGACGAACCGCUUCUAAUAGUCCAUUCACUUGGACAAUUUAUUUAUGAUCUGAUCUCAAAUCAGGUAGGACUACCCGCUGAACUUAA
This 200-nucleotide unclassified non-coding RNA is filed under the name soil metagenome. RNAcentral's name for it is "partial contains internal transcribed spacer 2 and large subunit ribosomal RNA". The record is from RNAcentral.